CCAGCAAUGCCGCGUGCAGGACGAAGGCCUUCGGGUUGUAAACUGCUUUUGUACGGAACGAAACGGUCUCUCCUAAUACGAGGGGCUAAUGACGGUACCGUAAGAAUAAGCACCGGCUAACUACGUGCCAGCAGCCGCGGUAAUACGUAGGGUGCAAGCGUUAAUCGGAAUUACUGGGCGUAAAGCGUGCGCAGGCGGUUAUAUAAGACAGAUGUGAAAUCCCCGGGCUCAACCUGGGACCUGCAUUUGUGACUGUAUAGCUAGAGUACGGUAGAGGGGGAUGGAAUUCCGCGUGUAGCAGUGAAAUGCGUAGAUAUGCGGAGGAACACCGAUGGCGAAGGCAAUCCCCUGGACCUGUACUGACGCUCAUGCACGAAAGCGUGGGGAGCAAACAGGAUUAGAUACCCUGGUAGUCCACGCCCUAAACGAUGUCAACUGGUUGUUGGGUCUUCACUGACUCAGUAACGAAGCUAACGCGUG
Molecule: ribosomal RNA, 480 nt
Filed under: beta proteobacterium Z27
Lineage: Bacteria; Pseudomonadati; Pseudomonadota; Betaproteobacteria
Description: bacterial SSU rRNA
Rfam family: Bacterial small subunit ribosomal RNA
Source: RNAcentral